This 249-nucleotide long non-coding RNA is filed under the name Rattus norvegicus (Norway rat). Its description in RNAcentral is "long non-coding RNA NONRATT032065". The record is from RNAcentral. Lineage: Eukaryota; Metazoa; Chordata; Mammalia; Rodentia; Muridae.
CUGUUUUGUUCUUGCUGCUGGCGUCCUGAACGGCUUUAUUAUGCACGUGAGCCAUGAGGUUCACUCCCCACGAGCUACUUCACACCGUUGCUUUUAUUCGAACUGCACCUUACUCCUGUGAGGCCAGAAGCUGUUGCCUUAUUCCUCCCUCACAAUGCUCCAUGCUCCCACUCAACCCUUGAAACCUCCCGGAUUCAACAGGAUGCUUUGGAAGCAAGAGCUCUAAGGUGUCAGAGGAAUGGAUUAAUG